Molecule: ribosomal RNA, 1373 nt
Filed under: Klebsiella pneumoniae
Lineage: Bacteria; Pseudomonadati; Pseudomonadota; Gammaproteobacteria; Enterobacterales; Enterobacteriaceae
Description: bacterial SSU rRNA
Rfam family: Bacterial small subunit ribosomal RNA
Source: RNAcentral
UAGCACAGAGAGCUUGCUCUCGGGUGACGAGCGGCGGACGGGUGAGUAAUGUCUGGGAAACUGCCUGAUGGAGGGGGAUAACUACUGGAAACGGUAGCUAAUACCGCAUAACGUCGCAAGACCAAAGUGGGGGACCUUCGGGCCUCAUGCCAUCAGAUGUGCCCAGAUGGGAUUAGCUAGUAGGUGGGGUAAUGGCUCACCUAGGCGACGAUCCCUAGCUGGUCUGAGAGGAUGACCAGCCACACUGGAACUGAGACACGGUCCAGACUCCUACGGGAGGCAGCAGUGGGGAAUAUUGCACAAUGGGCGCAAGCCUGAUGCAGCCAUGCCGCGUGUAUGAAGAAGGCCUUCGGGUUGUAAAGUACUUUCAGCGAGGAGGAAGGCGUUAAGGUUAAUAACCUUGGCGAUUGACGUUACUCGCAGAAGAAGCACCGGCUAACUCCGUGCCAGCAGCCGCGGUAAUACGGAGGGUGCAAGCGUUAAUCGGAAUUACUGGGCGUAAAGCGCACGCAGGCGGUCUGUCAAGUCGGAUGUGAAAUCCCCGGGCUCAACCUGGGAACUGCAUUCGAAACUGGCAGGCUAGAGUCUUGUAGAGGGGGGUAGAAUUCCAGGUGUAGCGGUGAAAUGCGUAGAGAUCUGGAGGAAUACCGGUGGCGAAGGCGGCCCCCUGGACAAAGACUGACGCUCAGGUGCGAAAGCGUGGGGAGCAAACAGGAUUAGAUACCCUGGUAGUCCACGCCGUAAACGAUGUCGACUUGGAGGUUGUGCCCUUGAGGCGUGGCUUCCGGAGCUAACGCGUUAAGUCGACCGCCUGGGGAGUACGGCCGCAAGGUUAAAACUCAAAUGAAUUGACGGGGGCCCGCACAAGCGGUGGAGCAUGUGGUUUAAUUCGAUGCAACGCGAAGAACCUUACCUGGUCUUGACAUCCACAGAACUUUCCAGAGAUGGAUUGGUGCCUUCGGGAACUGUGAGACAGGUGCUGCAUGGCUGUCGUCAGCUCGUGUUGUGAAAUGUUGGGUUAAGUCCCGCAACGAGCGCAACCCUUAUCCUUUGUUGCCAGCGGUCCGGCCGGGAACUCAAAGGAGACUGCCAGUGAUAAACUGGAGGAAGGUGGGGAUGACGUCAAGUCAUCAUGGCCCUUACGACCAGGGCUACACACGUGCUACAAUGGCAUAUACAAAGAGAAGCGACCUCGCGAGAGCAAGCGGACCUCAUAAAGUAUGUCGUAGUCCGGAUUGGAGUCUGCAACUCGACUCCAUGAAGUCGGAAUCGCUAGUAAUCGUAGAUCAGAAUGCUACGGUGAAUACGUUCCCGGGCCUUGUACACACCGCCCGUCACACCAUGGGAGUGGGUUGCAAAAGAAGUAGGUAGCU